UACGUAGGGGGCAAGCGUUGUCCGGAAUCAUUGGGCGUAAAGAGCGUGUAGGCGGUCCGGUACGUCCGCUGUGAAAGUCGGGGGCUCAACCCUCGAAUGCCGGUGGAUACUGUCGGGCUAGAGUGCGGAAGAGGCGAGUGGAAUUCCUGGUGUAGCGGUGAAAUGCGCAGAUAUCAGGAGGAACACCUAUUGCGAAGGCAGCUCGCUGGGACGUAACUGACGCUGAGACGCGAAAGCGUGGGGAGCAAACAGG
Molecule: ribosomal RNA, 253 nt
Filed under: uncultured bacterium
Lineage: Bacteria
Description: partial 16S ribosomal RNA
Rfam family: Bacterial small subunit ribosomal RNA
Source: RNAcentral